CUCGGCCGUCUUCUCUAGGAGAGAAAAUAUUCGUGCCAUAUAGCGUGUUCUAAGAGUUCUCACCAGAAGCCCAGAAAGUUCUGUAUUUACUCAGCAUUCAAGGGAAAACAGACCCUGUAUUUUUGGGAUUCCUGAAAGGUGACCAGGUGAGAGCAAAGCCCAACUUCCUGGGGAAAAGCUCUCAGCGCAGUGAAUGCUACAUUCGGAGGUAGGAAGACUCUGGAUGUGAACUACUUCGUGUUUGCUUUUUGUUUUUUGUUUUUUUUUUUCUCUAAAAUUACCAAAAAAAGAGGAAUAUCCACAGAAGCAGAAGUAGGAAUGGGGAAGGAGGGGACAAGUUUAGACCAAGCUCUUCUGUGACCUCACUUCUGCUUUUGAAGUCCCACAGCUCUAUAAGCCUCGUCCCAUCUCAGUGCUUU
This 419-nucleotide long non-coding RNA is filed under the name Pan troglodytes (chimpanzee). RNAcentral's name for it is "long non-coding RNA NONPTRT000728". Lineage: Eukaryota; Metazoa; Chordata; Mammalia; Primates; Hominidae. The record is from RNAcentral.